CCCUUAGAUGUUCUGGGCCGCACGCGCGCUACACUGACUACUUCAACGAGUUGUUUCCUUGAUCGAAAGGUCUGGGUAAUCUUUGAAAGGUAGUCGUGAUGGGGAUAGAUCCUUGCAAUUUUUGAUCUUCAACGAGGAAUUCCUAGUAAACGCAAGUCAUCAGCUUGCAUUGAUUACGUCCCUGCCCUUUGUACACACCGCCCGUCGCACCUACCGAUUGAAUGGUCCGGUGAAUCUUUAGGACUGUGGCUGAGGUCUUGCCUUGUGCGGGUCUGGCCGUGGGAAUUUAGUUAAACCUUACCAUUUAGAGGAAGGUGAAGUCGUAACA
RNAcentral lists this ribosomal RNA (328 nucleotides) under uncultured eukaryote. Its description in RNAcentral is "partial 18S ribosomal RNA". It matches the Rfam family "Eukaryotic small subunit ribosomal RNA", at positions 1470 to 1796 of the family's 1831-position model. The record is from RNAcentral.